Molecule: ribosomal RNA, 757 nt
Filed under: uncultured Enterobacteriaceae bacterium
Lineage: Bacteria; Pseudomonadati; Pseudomonadota; Gammaproteobacteria; Enterobacterales; Enterobacteriaceae
Description: bacterial SSU rRNA
Rfam family: Bacterial small subunit ribosomal RNA
Source: RNAcentral
AUUGAACGCUGGCGGCAGGCCUAACACAUGCAAGUCGAGCGGUAACACAGGGAGCUUGCUCCUGGGUGACGAGCGGCGGACGGGUGAGUAAUGUCUGGGAAACUGCCUGAUGGAGGGGGAUAACUACUGGAAACGGUAGCUAAUACCGCAUAACGUCGCAAGACCAAAGAGGGGGACCUUCGGGCCUCUUGCCAUCAGAUGUGCCCAGAUGGGAUUAGCUAGUAGGUGGGGUAACGGCUCACCUAGGCGACGAUCCCUAGCUGGUCUGAGAGGAUGACCAGCCACACUGGAACUGAGACACGGUCCAGACUCCUACGGGAGGCAGCAGUGGGGAAUAUUGCACAAUGGGCGCAAGCCUGAUGCAGCCAUGCCGCGUGUAUGAAGAAGGCCUUCGGGUUGUAAAGUACUUUCAGCGGGGAGGAAGGCGUUGAGGUUAAUAACCUCAGCGAUUGACGUUACCCGCAGAAGAAGCACCGGCUAACUCCGUGCCAGCAGCCGCGGUAAUACGGAGGGUGCAAGCGUUAAUCGGAAUUACUGGGCGUAAAGCGCACGCAGGCGGUCUGUCAAGUCGGAUGUGAAAUCCCCGGGCUCAACCUGGGAACUGCAUUCGAAACUGGCAGGCUAGAGUCUUGUAGAGGGGGGUAGAAUUCCAGGUGUAGCGGUGAAAUGCGUAGAGAUCUGGAGGAAUACCGGUGGCGAAGGCGGCCCCCUGGACAAAGACUGACGCUCAGGUGCGAAAGCGUGGGGAGCAAACAGG